UAUGGAGCUGCCUCGAAGAAGGAUCCUAAUAUCAUAUAUCAGUUAGAUGACCAAGUUCAGGGCCUGCUGCUCGACUGCUUCAGCUCAGCGCCGGAGCUCGGAUCAAUGGAAUACUGUUGGGGAUACAACGGACCACACCCACAUACUGAUCAGACCCUCUGAUUGGAUAUCACAUGGAUGUCUUGACCACUGCCAUGGCUUUCAUGCAAAUUGAUGAAGGAGCAAAGAAGCAGCUGUGAGGAGCCUGGAAGGUCCCCCAACUCUGCCCCUCACCUGUGUCACGUCUGCCUGCCAGUGCCAUCAAGGAUCUCUCCUCUCCUCCAGCCCCUGGGUGUCUUCAGCAUCAGAUGUCAUCCUGCCAGAGACAAAGUAAGUCAGACAAACACACUGGCUGGACCUCUGAGGAGAACCUUGCUGCAUGCUCAAGUGCUAUAAGUGCCUAGGAGUCGUCUUACAAGAAACACUUAUUGCAUUUUGUAUUGAGCAUGAUGUUAUGAAAAAUUAAUACAGGGAUGGUGUGCCUUCCUCUCCUUGGCCUCACUCUGUGUGAGUCUGUGUCCAUCCCUAUGCAUGUAAAUGCACAUGCACUUACUUGCAUGUCUUACUCUUUGUGUUUAUGUUUUGGUAAAUGCAUGUGCUUGUGUGCAAGAAUGUUUGGCUGCAUUCAUUUGAUUCUGUGUGAGUUUUGGGGGCUAAUAGUAUAUAAUAUGUAUAUCACAGAUCUUUCCAUCUCCUGGUGUUUUGGUGGAAGCUUCACUAUUGACAAUAGUUACGGCUACGAGCUCCUUCCAUUUGCUGCAUUUAGGCUCUUUAUUCCCCUAGGUUAGUGCAUAUAUUGACUCCACUAUUGGCGAAACAAUAGUGAAAGUAUACAACCUUAAAGUAAAUUGAUAUGUAUACAAAAACAAGAACAG
Molecule: long non-coding RNA, 914 nt
Organism: Anarrhichthys ocellatus (wolf-eel)
Lineage: Eukaryota; Metazoa; Chordata; Actinopteri; Perciformes; Anarhichadidae
Exons: 3
Source: RefSeq, a predicted model, not a curated record